UUUAAGUGUAGUUGUGGAUUUCCGUAUCCAACGUUUGACCGUCCGUUUUAUUUAAAAAUUUUUUAUGAUUAUUGUUUUUAUUGUUAUUAGAUGAUAAAACAUGAAUAUUAUUUUAUAUAUGCGUGAGCGUGACUUAUUUUUUAUUUAUUUUUAAAUAAGAUGAACGGUUAAAUGUUGGACACAUGAACCUACAACUGCACUUAAA
Oryza nivara is the source of this 205-nucleotide non-coding RNA. NCBI's taxonomy places the organism in Eukaryota, Viridiplantae, Streptophyta, Magnoliopsida, Poales, Poaceae. The record is from Rfam.